UUUUUUUAAAAGGACUUAUUUUGGCUAACUAGACAAAGAUGAUUAAUAUAUGAUGUUAAAUAUUGUAUUUGAAUCCACUAGAUUAGAACAAGUGUAUGUCAGCAAUGAUAGCGAACAAAGAUGUUGCUUAUGGUUUAUACUUGCCAACUUGAUUUUAUGGGAUUAUUUGUGUUUGAUGUGAUUGGCUAGCUUGCAUUGAACAUAUCCUGCAAGGACUUGCACACUCGAGAUAGAUAAAGAAUCCAUAUGCUAAGCCGAAAUUCUAAAGUGUCUAUAUAUGAUUGAAGGAUCUUAGAGCCUCAUGUUUACUCAAACAUUCCUCUGUUCAUACAAACAAUUUAAUACUUUCUCGACAGACAUUGAAGAUCAAUCAGCUCGGCAGCGUCGUAGUAGGGAAGAGAACAAUGAGAAGAUGCCCUUAUGUGUCCGAAUACCAGAAGAAGAUCGUUCUGCUAUAGAGAUAUGUCUCAGCAUCUAAAAACUAAGGAUCUAACUUUGACGGCUCUCAUUCCAUAAGCUUCCAAUCUCUCUCUCACUCUCUCUCUCUCUCUGAUAUUAAUCAGACCCUUAUAGGGUUAUCAUCUUUUUAAGAUUCUCGAUUUUUGUCGAGGUGUUAAUGGUCUAAUUGAAUUUUCCUUUUUUUUUCCUUUCUUCGUUUAGUUUCAGGAAUCAGCUCCUCGCUUGAAAUCUUCAACCGUAUGACCACACUCUUUGUUGUUUUAGCUUUUCACACUCUUUGUUGUUUUAGCUUUUUCUCGCUAAAUUUGUUAACACUGAUAUUGGUACGUGUGUUCAUCUUCUUCAGUUUGGAUAUGUUAUCUCUGAUCUGAUACUGGUUUCUUCAAGCUUCCUGCUUUGUAUCCCUGUUUGAAGAAGCAAAUAUACUGUGUGGAAAAGAUAGCGGAUUGGUUAGUUGGUGUUUUUUGGGGUAUAAAGGUGAAGUCUUUGCGUGUGUAAUCUGAGAUAAGGAUUGGAUGGUGGGAAAAGAGGAUGCGAUGGGAGAAUGAUGAGGAUGCUCCUGGUUUUCACUGUUUGAUGUAUCAUGUUCAUGCCUUUAUCUUGAUCGUUAUGUUUAUGUACAAUACUUUGAAACAUAUAGAGUGUGAGUAUGAUCUCAAGACAUGUAUAGAUUUUUCCAAAGUGAGUUUCACAA
Brassica oleracea var. oleracea is the source of this 1153-nucleotide long non-coding RNA. RefSeq lists it as uncharacterized. The transcript has 2 exons. The record is from RefSeq and is a predicted model, not a curated record. NCBI's taxonomy places the organism in Eukaryota, Viridiplantae, Streptophyta, Magnoliopsida, Brassicales, Brassicaceae.